Long non-coding RNA from Equus asinus (donkey), 5486 nucleotides. NCBI's taxonomy places the organism in Eukaryota, Metazoa, Chordata, Mammalia, Perissodactyla, Equidae. The record is from Ensembl.
CUGGAACGCUUUUGAGAGCAGAAAAGGGGGGAAGGGCCACCUGGAGCCUGACCUUUGUCCUUCUGAGGACUCAGCCCAGGAUCUGAAUGGACACAGGUUCUGGGUAUUAUAGAGCAGGGUAGUAGUUGCAGAAAGAUAAUCCGGGAAGGAGAAAAAAGUGAGAAGACAGAGGUGGUUCUUGAAAGGAGCAGCAGUUUGGGCCAGAAGUGCUGGGCUGGGCUUUCACUAUCAGCCGUGUCCCGCUGGGCCUCUUGGAGGCCUCCAGGAGGCGGGUCCUCGGGAGGAAGGGCAAGGCUGUGCUGAGUGCCUGGGGCGGACGCCCACUGCCCACGGCUGACUGCCUGAUCAGGGGAAGGGCAGGUGAUGAAGAUGUCCUUGUGCAAGGUCAUUUCCAUCCACAGCCAGCAUCCUUCUGGCCAACAGAGGAGACCUCAGGGCGGAGGGCCUGGUUCUGAGCUCCUUCCCCUGCCCGCGCCCCAUCCCAGCCAAGAGAUACUGUGAGACCUGAGAACUGCCUCGAGGAAUGAAAAGAAAGUGAGAAGGACAGCUCAACUCAAGUCACCUCGGAUCCUGGCUGAACCACGUAAGGGCUUCUGCCACCUCCCCCUGACCCCCUCGGAUGAGCCUUCAGGACUCACACAGCCAGCUGGUAGUCCACAGAAUGGCAUUAGGCUAUGAUGACCACACAUACGCUAUGAAGGCAGCACCGGAUGUCACCUAAUUAAGACAAACCCCAGGGAUCCUGGGAACCAAGAGGUCCUGCCCCCAGAGCCUAGUGAUCAACACCUGAUUCUUCUAGGUCUCCCAGGAAGCAGGCAAAUAUGAUGCUGGAAGCAGAAAGAUAAGCCACCAUUAAUAGAAAUAGACAGCCCUGGGCAAUGAGAGACACUGGGGGUCCAAAUUCUAUUAUUGAAACCAUAAAUGAGCAUCUCAGGCCUGGAAAAAAGGCUUCUAGUAGCUGGAAUAAAAGGCCAGAAGUCCUGGGGCCAGGCUUAGGCAGCUGCCAGACACACUUGAUCGUUUCAAGCAGGGAGGAGGAGCCCUGGGGCGAGGAGCAUCGUGUAUUUCAUCACCAGACAAAUUCAAAAGCCAGGUGAGCACAAAGCCCCACGCCCAACUCUGGCCUGCAGCCCUGGGCAGAGGGGCCACAGCUCCCGAAAUCUGGACCCCUGUUGCCAACAGCACUGCUUCUGCAAGUCCUGCAGAACACUUCCCAGGAGAUGCCUGCCAACGAAGUCCCAGACUCAAUGGAAACUGCCACUUAGCAGAAAAACAGAAGCCCUGUUACUGCGUGCUAAGACGGCUAAGAGGGCUGCAAAACAGCCCCCUCCCCUUCCUGAGAGCCCAAUAGGAAGGGUGGGAGUGCAGCAGAAAACGCCAGAAGAAUUCAAAACCAGCAAGGAGUUCAAAUCCAAAAUGGUCUGGCAUUAUAAUGAUAUUCAACCAGUGUGCACCAGUCCAGGCAAACUGGUGCUUAAAAUAUUGAAAUACCUCUGUAACCGUUGGCAAAUCGCGCUGCCUAAGCCCCUGAUUGCUGCACCAGCAUGAUGGCCAGUGUCCACUCUGUUUGGUGGUGCCCCGGCCAUACUGAUUUAGAGGGGCGAAGUAACUUGUCCAAAGUCACACAGCUAGGAAGCGGCAGCACGGGGACUGAAGCUCGUGUCUGUCUGAUGCUGGGACCCAGGCUCAACCGUUUGCCAUAUGGCCCAUACACCUGCUUAGAGGCGGCAAUAGAAGCUUCAUAGCAAAGGAGUUCACCUGAUAGUCAGUUCACAUGUUGACCUCCUGCAUGUUAUUUUAAUACACUUGAGUGUGUACAUUUUUGUUAUACCUUCCUAAAUAGCUAAGAAUAAUUUAAAGCCAAACAUUUGCAGCCCCCCUGAAGUACCUCCAAACACCCCCAAGUUCUAUGAAGGCCAGUCUGAAGACCCUGCAUUGGGCUAACACAGGGUUGGCAAACGGUGGUUCCUUGGGCCAAACCUGGCCCACCCCCUGUUUUGAUAAAGAAACUUUUGUUGAAACACAGCCAUGCCCGUUUGUUUGCAGAUGUCUACGGCUGCUUUUGCACUGCAGCAGCAGAGUCGGAUUGUUUCAACAGAGAGCACGGAGCUGAAAAGAUUUAUCUUUACAGACAAAGUUCGCUGACCCCUGGGCUAAGGCAAACCUCCCUGGACCACUCCUCAGUGGGAGAGACCAGCUCACAUCCACCGAAGCAUUGGGAGGUGGAGGCUGGCUCUGUUGCCCACAGGGCAGCACGUGGGAGCUCCAUGCCCACCUGCAAGCAUUGUUAGGGCUGCAAAGAAUUGCAGAGUUGAUGCCAACACAGCAGACCCUUGGCGUCUGAGGAUUAAGACUUCAACUUUUGACUAUUUUCAAGUGACCCAUGGCCUGUUGUCAUUUGAAAUGUUGUUGAUGCACAAAUUUGACUCGGGUGUGCCCUCCCAAGCUGAUUAGUGAGGGGCAGGGAGCAGGACCCCUGGCUGGGGUCGAGCCCAGCUGGCAGUGCAGCAUCUGCUCAGUGUGGCUUUGUUGUUCUCAGCUUGUUAUUGCCCUCAUGGGGCCUCUCGAGGAGUGAUAAGUGCUGGUAGACGGAUGGGCCUUGGUUAAAUAUUAGUUUUGGAUAAAGCGAAGUGCCCCGUGUUGACCUUAGUGCUCAGAUCUCACGAGUCCUCCACAUGUUCUCUGUGGCAGCAAGAACAAACUGUUCACGACAAUGGUCCCAGUGAGCGCUGUAUCGGUGCAGAAGUUACUGAUCAAGCAAGAGAUAAAACUCCAGUGAAAGAUGGAAUGGCAGUUUUCCUGUGGUAUGAGGGUGUGAGCAACAAACACACAUGCCUCAUGAUGGAAUUGUGGACCAGGAGAAAUCUAGGACCCUGCAGAUCUAGGGAUUUACCAAGGUUCCAGGAUCCACUGCAAGAAUGGCAAGUGCGGAAGCAGUCCCACCUACCGCCAUGGUUGAUGUCGCCGUUCCAUCAUGAUACUCUUCUCCGCUAAGCCUAGACUUGGCCUCAGAAUCCUUCUCAAUCCAGCAUUCCAGGCAGCCACUACAUGAGGGAUGGAAUCCUAUUUUGCUGUCCUUUCUGGUGUUGGGUAUUGCUUUCCAGGGAGCAUGCAAGGCCCUGAAUGUUCAUUCUCUGAUGCUGUGGUGCGACUCUGAGGAUGCCAGGGUCUCACCCGACUCGGACAGAACAUAAAGAAGAGGGAGAAUAGCAUCCUGUAGUUGGUGGCUUCCUGAGAAGGGGUGCCUGAGGAACUGUCCUGGGUUUCACCCAGUCUUUGAGCAAAGUAAAAACCCCCUCCUGCCAGUAGGUGGCACUGCAGGCCCACUCUCAGCCUCUGGCCUCGCUGGUUUCAUUCACUGGUUUAUUUUUCUCUCCUGCCAUGUUACUUGGUGCAGUGCUGGACUCCUGCAGCUAGCUAAGCCAAAAAGGACUUGAAGGGCUCUGAAAAUGUUUGUUAAAAAUACCUGUGUGAGAAGCUGAUUGCUCUUACCAACAACCACUGUGAUUGUGUGUAUGGACACACCCCUGUGAGUGUGUGCAACAGGAUAAAAACUGCAUGUGUGCAUGUUUAUGUGGGUGUGUGUAACGAGUCAGAAAUCUCUGCUGACAACUCUGUGUGUGUGUGUGUGAGUGUGAGUGUACAAGAUGGUUAUCUCUGCUAACUGAGCAUCCUGAGUUCCACAUAUUGAUGGCCAGCCCUGCUUCUUGGGACUAGUUCUGGCUAUUCCCAUCAUCUCAUGGGCAUUAGCACAUGCUCAGGGCGGGGGCUGCUGAGGCCAGGCUUCUUGUCUUUCUCUCCAGUUUCUAGCCUCUGGCCAACAAGGUCUUGGUCCUAACCCUCUGCCUCCCGCCCCUAAUCCUUGCAGCUUUGGGAAGGAAGUGGUAAAAUCUGUGCUAGGACAACCCUUUUGGCUGUACCUGCUUCACCAUCUCUACUUGUUUCUUCCCUUCCUCUGAAAGUCCAAGGCCAACAUGCAUAGUUGGGCAGAUUGUGCACUGCACAAAUUCAGAUGGAGCCAUUCACACUAACUAUGACAUAAAGUGUAAAACCAGCCAAUUGUUCCCAGCUGCCCUGGUCAUCUCAUGGCCAUGGCUAGAAAAACUGCCUUCUUCCCUGCCCCCCUGGCCCAGCCCAGCCUAAACUGGGAUUCCUUCCUCUGCUUGGGUGUUCUAGUCUGGCCCAGAAGUGACUUAUGCUUGGCUUUGAUGAGGAAUUCUCUCCCUGCUGGGCCAUCCCCCAGAGACCUUUGGGAUUCAAUUUAUGAAAGUGAAAUAUGGCUGGCAGCUUUUCAGUUACUCAUCUUUGCAAAGUGAGAGGCCCCUGUAAGACUAACCAAAGUUCUGGGGACUGGGGUCACUGACUCCCACGCUCCUGGCCUGGGGGUGAAUACACCUUCAUGGGCCAACUGUGGAGAUGGGUCUGCCACAGAAUUAGGGUAAAGGCCUCAAGGCUAGGCUUGUAGCUGCCACCAAGCAGAAAAUCAUGAAGUCACCACACACUGGAUGCCAGGGCCAAGUCAUAAACCCUGAUGCCCCCAAGGGCCAGGCAGGAAACAGAAAGAAGCGAAGAGGAUUAGGCGGGGUCUUCGGUGAAAACACUCUGUCGUCUGACACGGGUGCUGCCAUGUGGGCAUGCAGCCUGGUGUUGCUGGGUCUUCCACCCCAUUUUUCAAGGGAAGCUAGAAAUCUGGACUUCUAAAUGUUGGCAACUGUUUUGAGUUUAGAAAACACUGCGCAGGCCAAAUAAAACACAUCUUGCAGGCUAAAUCCAGCCCUCGGGUCUCCAGUCUGCACCCACUGGCCCAGGUCCAGGGAACUGGGUUUUUCAGAACCGAGUAACUGAGAGUGUAAGAAUAUUACCCUCAGACUCACAGAGUUUGGGAUCUUUAAGAGACCUUAGAGAUAACCUAGUCCAUCCCUUGUGUGUUUUAAACUGUGUACAUCGAACUUCUUUAUUAAUUAAUAGCACACACAUCCUUAACUUCCGGUUUCUACUUAAAAGUAUCUCAGUACCUCCAAUUUAGGACAAGAUUUGAAAUGAAGCCUCUACACAUGAUGUGCUUGUAUCUACCCGUCAGAAGCGCUGUUUUAUACCAUUUGCUUUAUGAAAGCUCUACUUUUAUCUUUUGCAAACAUGGACCGCCCGGUCUUCCAUAUAACCUGACCUCCUUGGGUUGUUUUUGAUGGUACAUCUUCUAAGUGCCUCCUUAAACCAUCGGAGCAUGUGUUUCUUCAUUUGCGUGACUAUCCUCGCCCUGCCCCGAGGAUAAGACUGCUCCUGCUUUUCCUGGCUUUGCCCCUCCCUGGGCUGCUCUCAGCCCUCCCCAGGCCCCAGCUCUGUCUGGCUCUGCAGCAUUUACCCAGUCACAGGACAAAAGGGUGCUGCGUGCUUGUCAGUGUGGAUCCCUCUCACUCCCCAUGCUUGUCCUCUACCUUAAUUUUGCAACAUGGGCCUCUGCUUCUUAAAAGCCAUUCAAAUAAAAG